This 736-nucleotide ribosomal RNA is filed under the name Lactobacillus crispatus. RNAcentral's name for it is "bacterial SSU rRNA". It matches the Rfam family "Bacterial small subunit ribosomal RNA", at positions 17 to 720 of the family's 1533-position model. The record is from RNAcentral. Lineage: Bacteria; Bacillati; Bacillota; Bacilli; Lactobacillales; Lactobacillaceae.
UCAUGACUCAGGACGAACGCUGGCGGCGUGCCUAAUACAUGCAAGUCGAGCGAGCGGAACUAACAGAUUUACUUCGGUAAUGACGUUAGGAAAGCGAGCGGCGGAUGGGUGAGUAACACGUGGGGAACCUGCCCCAUAGUCUGGGAUACCACUUGGAAACAGGUGCUAAUACCGGAUAAGAAAGCAGAUCGCAUGAUCAGCUUUUAAAAGGCGGCGUAAGCUGUCGCUAUGGGAUGGCCCCGCGGUGCAUUAGCUAGUUGGUAAGGUAAAGGCUUACCAAGGCGAUGAUGCAUAGCCGAGUUGAGAGACUGAUCGGCCACAUUGGGACUGAGACACGGCCCAAACUCCUACGGGAGGCAGCAGUAGGGAAUCUUCCACAAUGGACGCAAGUCUGAUGGAGCAACGCCGCGUGAGUGAAGAAGGUUUUCGGAUCGUAAAGCUCUGUUGUUGGUGAAGAAGGAUAGAGGUAGUAACUGGCCUUUAUUUGACGGUAAUCAACCAGAAAGUCACGGCUAACUACGUGCCAGCAGCCGCGGUAAUACGUAGGUGGCAAGCGUUGUCCGGAUUUAUUGGGCGUAAAGCGAGCGCAGGCGGAAGAAUAAGUCUGAUGUGAAAGCCCUCGGCUUAACCGAGGAACUGCAUCGGAAUCUGUUUUUCUUGAGUGCAGAAGAGGAGAGUGGAACUCCAUGUGUAGCGGUGGAAUGCGUAGAUAUAUGGAAGAACACCAGUAAAUAAG